AGGGAUGUCAAUGCGGGUGUAUACCUGAAAUUUUAUCCGAACUCGAACCAGAAUAAAACGGAUAUAUUCGAUGAAUAUGGAUAUGGAUUCGGAUAUAGAUAUAAAAAAUAAAAAUCCGACGGAUAUGAAUUUGGAUAUGGAUUUUGAUUGUACCCAACCCGAACUCGACUCCGAACCCGACCCGAACCCGAAUUUAUUUUGUAUUUUAUAUAUAUAUAUAUAUAUAUAUAUAUAUANAUAUAUAUAUAUAUAUAUAUAUAUAUAUAUAUAAAUUUGAUGUUAUAUUUGAAUUCGUAUUUUAAAAAUUUAGAUUUAAUAUAAUAUAUUUUGAAAUAUUGAAAACAGAAAUAAUUAUUUCGGGUUCAAAUUUUCGAGUCCGGGUUUGGGUUCGGGUUUCGAAUUUUUGGCUGGGUUCGGAUUUGGAUAUGGAUUUUUAAAGUCCGUCGGGUUCGGGUCUUGGGUUUGGAGUCGGGUUCGGGUUCCGGUUUUUAAAAAUCCUCCCCGAAUCCGACCCGUUGACAUCUCUAAACACAACAAUAUAUUUCUCCGCAAGGUGCUAAUUUUUUUAGCAGACUAUCGGUUUCAUUUAUUUUUUUUAGAAGUAAACUUAUCUGAAAAUGUCAGUCAAUUAGGAUUCGAACUUAAGACCUCGUGUACCAACCACCAAGCUUUUUGCCACUUGUACUAAGGACGGCCAAUUGGGUGCUAAUUUUUUGGUUUGGAAUAAUUUUCUAUAUACUCCUCAAAACUUUUGAAAUACUUUAUUAUUUUUAUUUUAAAUAUACUCUCCGUAUAUUUUUUUCAUUAUUCAAAAGUACCCUCGCUGUUAAUAUCUGUUAAGUUAUCUCGGGUUAAAUAAAUCUAAGUUAAACUUCAACCAUAGUAAAAAAUAGUAAAAAUACCUAUUUUACCCGUAACUUGAGACAAAUAAGGAAUGUUAGUGAUGAUAGAAUAGUAUAUUUAAAAGUGCAAAAAGUCAAAAUACUUUUUUUGCCCCUAAUUUAAUGGGCAAAUAAGAAAAGCUGGUUACGACAGAAGGAUAUAUUUAAAAGGACAAAGCUAUAAUUUUAUAGAAAUAACAACUGUUCAUAAUAGUACACCAAUAAAAUUUAACUUUAAAAUUAUAUUUUAAAAAAAACUUGAAAUUUUAAAAAGGUAUUUUUAAUAUUACAUUUCUAAUAGGAAUAAAUACAAAAAUCAAAAAAUUUUGCACAGAUCGAUGCAUAAAUAAUUGUCCUUUUUGUUUGGUAACGUCCACUAUAUGUGUAUAGUACUACGCAUGGUUUUAACGAGGGAGAAUAAAAAGAGAAAAAAAACAACAAAAAAGAGAGAUAUGUAAAAAAUGGGGAAAAUUUCAAAAAUUCCCCGUGUGGUUUCGUAGUUUCUCACUUUGCCUCCCUAUAAUUUAAAAUGUAUCAAUUUGGCUCCCUGUGAUUUCUUUUUUCUCUUUUUCUUAUCAAUUUCAUUAUUUUUUUUUUUAAAUUAGUGAUAAAGUUAAAAUUAAAGAAUACUAAAGUGAAUAUUUGAUAAAUCUAGAUGGGUAUCUGAAGUUUUUUGUAUAUAAUUUAAUGAAAUAUUAACGAAAAAGUUACCGAAAAGAUAAAAACGAAACCACAAGGGGGCAAUUUGAUACAUUUUAAACCACAGGGGAUUAAAGUGAGAAACUACGAAACCACAGGGGGGGUUUUUGAAGGUUUCCCAAAAUGGGACCCCGGACACACUGUACGAUUAGACUAG
This 1737-nucleotide long non-coding RNA is filed under the name Ananas comosus (pineapple). Its description in RNAcentral is "long non-coding RNA (ACOM_LNC044414)". Lineage: Eukaryota; Viridiplantae; Streptophyta; Magnoliopsida; Poales; Bromeliaceae. The record is from RNAcentral.